Molecule: long non-coding RNA, 342 nt
Organism: Stegodyphus dumicola
Lineage: Eukaryota; Metazoa; Arthropoda; Arachnida; Araneae; Eresidae
Source: RefSeq, a predicted model, not a curated record
GAAUGCUUUAAAUGCUUCGUCCCGCCGAGCUCUGGUUCUGACGCAUCUUGAAAAGCCAUUUAGUAGAUGCGAGUUGACAACAGAAAGAUUAAAUUUACCUUCCUCUGCAGCUGAAGCGAAGGUCUGAGUUCAGUUUGAGUGGUUGCCACAGAAGCAAAUCGUAAGGCUUGAGAAAGUGACUGCAGCAAAUGAAAGGGUGCUCAAAGAGAAAAUAUAAGAAGGUUGAAUAAGGAAACCAUUCUUUUAAAAGAAUUCGAAGCAAGAAAAGGAGUGGUGUAUGAUUACAAUGUUUUCAGACGAGUUCCUGUUAGUUUAGCUAUACAUCACCAUGCAAGACCUUUA